UCCAUAAAGAGCUCAUCGUAAUGUGUCCUG
Molecule: non-coding RNA, 30 nt
Filed under: Mus musculus (house mouse)
Lineage: Eukaryota; Metazoa; Chordata; Mammalia; Rodentia; Muridae
Source: RNAcentral